UCUCAUUCAAUAUAGUAUAGACAUAAAGUAAUAAUGAUUUAAACUAAAAGAGGGAACAAUUCUCCUUAAUCUUUUUUUAUCACCCAAAAUGGAUUUCAUCCAGGAUAAUGAAUGUAUAAAGGAUAAGAAAUCAAACAAUUUUCCCAGAAACAAUGCUGCUAGCUAAGUCUUCCAUCAACAUCCCAUGUUCGCUUCUAUCCUGAUUCCAACUAUCGCUGACAACAACUAGAAUUAUUGCUCCAUCUCUAUAUUCUUGGGUUGCCGACAACCAGAUCAAUUCGAUCAAGGGGUUUUGUGAUGAACUUUGGUGGUAGCACUAGUGAUAGAUAGAUGGAACUACGUUUUGUUCAAAGGUAACAACUUGUUCUUGAAACAAAUUUGAUAAGGGUCUAUCAUAUCAGAAAUUGCUAAACUUUUUGUUGAAAGGUAAAUAUUAGUAUUGAUAGUGAAUGAGAUUAGAACCUUCAACCUCAUUUUUACUUCAUUCCUUAAACAUCCACUUUUAUCACCCGAACAUCUUAUGACUCCUUAGAAAUUGCUAAACCGAGUUACCUUCGAAGUUGAUUUCAAAGCUAUUAACAGCUUUACCCUUCUUAAUUUGACAUGGAUGUUUAUUUUAUAUUUUUUUACGAUUGACAACAACAUAAUACUAUUCACUCUAAUAGUCAAUUUCUCUAUAUAGUUUUUUAGAAUAAGAACAAAUUACAAAACAGGAAGAACAUCUUAAUAAAAACAAAUCACAAUGAUGAACAACAUUCACAAUAUUUUUAGAAAAAGUUAGCUCGCCCAACUUUUACCUGAAAACUCCUCAUUCCACUACCACUUGCUCAAGACCAUUUUCGAUUGAAGACAAUUCUGAAGCUUAUUUAACAUCUCAUAACAAAAAUGCUCCUUUCGGAAAUAUACACUUUAAUGUAAAGAACUCAAGUCGCCAUUCACUGAAUAAUGUUCCACCACCGCUUGCAUAAGGAAAUACCGUUGAAUGAGUCACUUUCAACAACACUUGCUCUAACAAGAAUUAUUGAUUCUAAUGACAAUACUAUUUGAUAUAAUAGUACAUCAGAUAGUACUAUUUUAUCAAACAGUUCGUACAUAUAUACAAACACAUUCAACAAAAUAAAACACAUAUAUAUCAACAC
RNAcentral lists this long non-coding RNA (1139 nucleotides) under Lupinus angustifolius (narrow-leaved blue lupine). Its description in RNAcentral is "long non-coding RNA (LANG_LNC002213)". Lineage: Eukaryota; Viridiplantae; Streptophyta; Magnoliopsida; Fabales; Fabaceae. The record is from RNAcentral.